Molecule: long non-coding RNA, 1355 nt
Filed under: Numida meleagris (helmeted guineafowl)
Lineage: Eukaryota; Metazoa; Chordata; Aves; Galliformes; Numididae
Description: lncRNA (ENSNMEG00000011668.1)
Source: RNAcentral
AUGGGGGCGAGGCGGGCGGCCCCGCGGGGAGAGGCCGGGGGCGGGUGCGGGCGGCCGGGGCCUAGCGCUCAGCCGGGCGCCGCCGCCGCCGCCAUCGCGGCCGCCGCUCCCGCGGGGCGGGGGAACGGGGCCGCGGUCGGGUGCUCACCUGCCCGUCCUCGGCGGCGCGGGUGGGAGAAGGAGGGGGAGAGGGAAGGAAGCGGGGGCCCCCCCCGCUCCUCCCGGAGCCUCGGCGACCCGGGGAGGGAAGGGGGGGAGGAGGGGAAGGGAGGAGGGAAGAGGAGCAGGAGGAGGGAGCCGGGCGCUCCGGUGCGUGCGAGGAGCCGGAGCCUGGCGGCGGGAGGAGGAGACUCCCCGCCCCUACGGCCGGGCUCUCUGGCGGGCACCUCCGGCCCCUCCUCCGCCGCGCUCCGCCUCGCCCCGCUGCCUGCGGGCGCUCGGGUGAGGCGAGGCAAGGCGCGGCGAGGCGAGGUGAGGCGCCGAGAAGCUCCCAGCAGCUCCGCGCCCGAUCAGAGGCCGCGGGGAGGAGCCGGGCAGCCCCAUCCUCGGCGGCGCCGCGCACCGAGCCAACAUGGUGGCGGCCGCGCGGGGCGGAGGGGAGGCGAGGGGCAGCCCCCGAUCGGGGCCUUUCGGGGAGGGCUGCCCGGAGCCCGGCUGCCUUCCUCCUGCUUGAUGAUGUUCAGGAUGAGGAAGGAGGAGCUGCACUCAUCUGCUGUAGCAUGUGUGGAAAACAGCGUGAGAUGCUGCUGCUGUCGUUUGCUGCUACCAGGUGCUGGGUACCAUUUCCUGACCAGUGUUCAGGCAAGAUCAGUGUCUGUGAACUCAUCAGCUGCACUGCAUUUCUGGUAUUCCAGGAAAAAUGCUGCUGUUAAGGGCAUGCAAGAGUGUGCACAUGGAUGGGCAAAAAGAGGAGCAAGGGCCCUCCUGUAUGGGAAAGUUGCCUCCUGGAUCUCAAGGUGGACUGCUUUGUGUCUCCAAAAGCAGCAGGGCUCCCAGACACGUGAGCUUGCUUCUUCUCCGGGAUGAGUGUGGAUGUGAAGUUUAUGCAGCUGCAUCCCUCUUUCAAGCUAAUUACAUCACAACAAGUGCUUUGGCUCUGAUCCCAAGUGGUCCUGCCCAGAGCCUGAACCAGCCUGCUGCUUUUCCUGGGUGCCUGCCACAGAGGUUACCUCCCUGCUGAGAUCCUGGCAUGUUCCCAGUCCUCUGCAGCACAGGCUUCUUCCUACCUCACAUACCCAGAGCUCAAUGCUGUGGCUAUGCAUCAUGUCUCUGCAUGAGUUCAGCCGGUUUUUCCCUUGGGGAAAGGAGCAUGUCCAGUUUCAUUUAAAAUAAACAUUGCUAAAAUCCAAGAUUCA